GAGGGUAUAGCUUAGUGGUCAAGUGUGUGCUUAGCAUGCACGACGCCCUGAGUUCAAUCCCCAGUUCCUCCA
Molecule: transfer RNA, 72 nt
Organism: Camelus ferus (Wild Bactrian camel)
Lineage: Eukaryota; Metazoa; Chordata; Mammalia; Artiodactyla; Camelidae
Rfam family: tRNA
About the family: Transfer RNA (tRNA) molecules are approximately 80 nucleotides in length. Their secondary structure includes four short double-helical elements and three loops (D, anti-codon, and T loops).
Source: Rfam